RNAcentral lists this ribosomal RNA (372 nucleotides) under uncultured organism. RNAcentral's name for it is "partial 16S ribosomal RNA". It matches the Rfam family "Bacterial small subunit ribosomal RNA", at positions 526 to 896 of the family's 1533-position model. The record is from RNAcentral.
GAAGGGUGGCAAGCGUUGUUCGGAAUCACUGGGCUUAAAGCGCGCGUAGGCGGGAGUUCAAGUGUCCUGUGAAAUCCCCCGGCUCAACCGGGGAACUGCGGGGCAAACUGGAUUUCUUGAGGCAAGUAGGGGUACAUGGAACUCUUAGUGGAGCGGUGGAAUGCGUAGAUAUUAAGAGGAACGCCGAUGGUGAAGACAGUGUACUGGGCUUGUCCUGACGCUGAGGUGCGAAAGCGUGGGGAGCGAACGGGAUUAGAUACCCCGGUAGUCCACGCCGUAAACGAUGUCUACUAGGUUGUGGAGGUUCUGACACUUUCACAGUCGAAGCAAAAGUGUUAAGUAGACCGCCUGGGGAGUACGGUCGCAAGGCUA